Molecule: ribosomal RNA, 348 nt
Filed under: uncultured Eubacteriales bacterium
Lineage: Bacteria; Bacillati; Bacillota; Clostridia; Eubacteriales
Description: bacterial SSU rRNA
Rfam family: Bacterial small subunit ribosomal RNA
Source: RNAcentral
AGGUGUUGCAUGGUUGUCGUCAGCUCGUGUCGUGAGAUGUUGGGUUAAGUCCCGCAACGAGCGCAACCCCCGUUCUGUGUUGCCAGCGUAAAGUCGGGCACUCACAGGAGACUGCCGGAGACAAUUCGGAGGAAGGUGGGGAUGACGUCAAAGUCCUCAUGGCCCUUAUGACCUGGGCUACACACGCGCUACAAUGGCCUGUACAGAGGGAAGCGAAAGAGCGAUCUGGAGCGGAAUCUCACAAAACAGGUCUCAGUUCGGAUUGCAGGCUGAAACCCGCCUGCAUGAAGCCGGAAUUGCUAGUAAUCGCAGAUCAGCUACGCUGCGGUGAAUACGUUCUCGGGCCUU